RNAcentral lists this ribosomal RNA (113 nucleotides) under Microcebus murinus (gray mouse lemur). The record is from RNAcentral. Lineage: Eukaryota; Metazoa; Chordata; Mammalia; Primates; Cheirogaleidae.
GUCUGUGGUCAUAUCACUCUGAACGUGCCUGAUCUCGGAAGCUAGGCAGGGUCAGGCCUGGUUAGUACUUGGAUGGGAGGAUAAGAGUGACAUAACAUAUGGAGCCACUGGUU